GUUUCACUGUGUUAGCCAGAUGAUCUCGAUCUCCUGACCUUGUGAUCCGCCCACCUCGGCCUCCCGAAGUGCUGGGAUUACAGGCGUGAGUCACCGCGCCUGGCCAACUUUUUUCUUUUCCUUGUUUCUUUCCUUAUCUAUUUCCCUUUAUGGGUUGGAUAAUUAGCUACAUUGCAGAUACACAAUGUGUAUACAUAAAAUCACCAAGAAUGGAAAUGCAAUGGGCUAUACUUAUCUAGCUGAAGAUUGGACUUUUCCAAUGUCAUAUCCUCCUCACCAGUCACAAAACUGCUGUACUUUAAUAACUAUUUGGUUUAUGAAGGGAUGUGUUUUGAGAGCAUUUUCCCAAUUUUCAGUGAAUUAAUAGGCCCAGGUGGUCUGGUGCUCUGUUGGAUGGAUGUUUCUAUUUUGGUGGAAAGUUAUUUUUUCAUAAAUUCACUCUCAUGCACAUAUAAAUGUGAAUAAUAAGCCUUGUUAUUCCUAUGACAAUAGAGCAGCGGACCCCUGCUGGGGGUGGGGAGGGUAAACAAAGCAUAAGUUAGGCGCCAUCUUGGAUUUGUGUUUUUUUCCUCCUAGGUAAAAAGAUUGACUUCAAAUUUUUCCCAUUCUAAUGAAUAUAGCCUUAACUCUCAGAGGAUAGGAGGGAGCAAAUAUCUUUCUGCCAUUAAUGUGAAGAAAGGGGCCGGGCGCGGCGGCUCACGCCUGUAAUCCCAGCACUUUGGGAGGCCGAGGUCAGGAGCUGAAGAGCAACCCCGCCAACGUGGCGAAACCCUGUCUCUGCAAAAAUACAAAAAUUAACCGGGCAUGAUGGCGGGUGCCUGUAAUCCCAGCUACUCAGGAGGCUGAGGCAAGAGACUUGCUGGAACCCGGGAACGGAGGUUGCAGUGAGCCGAGAUCAUGCCAUUGCAUUCCAGCCUGGGUGAAAGAGGAGACUACGUCUCAAAGAAAAAAAAAUGAAGAAAAGGUGUACACACCGAGGGCUUUUAUGAGUUUGCUACUACACGAUGGGGUGUGUAAAGGCAAAUGCAAAUUAAAAAUAAAAGGUUUAAUUCUUCCUGUUGAAAAUAAGAACAUUUUUCUAGUCGCUUCCAAGAUGGCUGAAUAGGAACAGCUCCGGUCUGCAGCUACCAGUGUGAUCAAUGCAGAAGACGAGUGAUUUCUGCAUUUCCAACUGAGGUACCUGGUUUAUCUCACUGGUCCUGGUUGAACAGUGGGUGCAGUCCACAGAGGGCGAGCUGAAGCAAGACAGGGUGUCGCCUCACUCAGGAAGCGCAAGGGGUCGGGGGAUUUCCCUUUCCUAGCCAAGAGAAGGAAUGACAAACUGUAUCUGGAGAAAUGGUACACUCCUGACCAAAUACUGCACUAUUCCCACUGUAUUAGCAACUGGCAGACCAGGGGAUCCCCUCUCGUGCCUGGCUCAGCAGGUCCCACACCCACGCAGCCUUGCUCACUGCUAGCGCAGCAGUCUGAGAUCCACCUGUGACACUGCAGCUGGACACGGGGAGGGGUGUCUGCCAUUGCUGAGGCUUGAGUAGCUCACAGUGUAAACAAAGAGGUCUGGAAGCACGAACUGAGUGGAGUCCGCGGCAGCUCAGCAAGGCCUACUGCCUCUAUAGAUUCCACCUCUGGGAUCAGGGCAUAGUAGAACAAAAGGCAGCAGACAGCUUCUGCAGACUUAAACAUCCCUGUCUGACAGCGCUGAAGAGAGCAGUGGUUCUCUCAGCAUGGCGUUCGAGCUCCAAAAAUGGAUAGACUGCCUCCUCAAGUGGAUGACUGACCCCUGGGUAGCCUGACUGGGAAAUACCUCCAAGUAGGGGCCGACAGACAUCUCAAACAGGUGGGUGCCCCUCUGGGAUGAAGCUUCCAGAGGAAGGAUCAGGCAGCAAUAUUUGCUGUUCUGCAGACUCCUCUGGUGAUAUACCCGGGCAAACAGGGUCUGGAGUGGACCUACAACAAACUCCAACAGACCUGCACCUGAGGGGUCUGACUGUUAGAAGGAAAACUAACCAACAGAAGGAAACCAGGUAUUUGAAUUUUUAGCACAUUUUUCUAGUCGCUUCCAAGAUGGCUGAGUAGGAACAGCUCUGGUCUGCAGCUCCCAGCAUGAUCGAUGCCGAAGACGGGUGAUUUCUGUAUUUCCAACUGAGGUACCUGGUUCAUCUCACUGGUACUGGUUGAACAGUGGGUGCAGCCCACAGAGGGCGAGCUGAAGCAGGACAUCAACAUCAACAAAAAGGAUAUCCACACCAAAACCCCAUCUGUAGGUCACCAACAUCAAAGACCAAAGGUAGAUAAAACCACAAAGAUGGGGAGAAACCAGAGCAGAAAAGCUGAAAAUUCCAAAAAACAGAGCACCUCUUCUCCUCCAAAGGAUUGCAGCUCCUCACCAGCAAGGGAACAAAACUGGAUGGAGAAUGAGAUUGAGAAAUUGACAAAAGUAGGCUUCAGAAGGUCGGUAAUAACAAACUUCUCGAAGCUAAAGGAGCAUGUUCUAACCCAUCACAAGGAAGCUAAAACCUUGAAAAGACGUUAGAUGAAUGGCCAACUAGAAUAAACAGUGUAGAGAAGACCUUAAAUCACCUGAUGGAGCUGAAAACCAUGGCACAAGAACUUCGAGACGCACAAGCUUUAAUAGCCAAUUCGAUCAAGUGGAAGAAAGGAUAUCAAUGAUUGAUAUCCAAAUUAAUAAAAUAAAGUGAGAAGACAAGAUUAGAGAACAAAAGAGUGAAAAGAAAUGAACAAAGGCUCUGAGAAAUAUGGGAUUAUGUGAAAAUACCAAAUCUACAUUUGACUGGUGUACCGCAAAGUGACACGGAUAAUGGAACCAAGUUAGAAAACACUCUGCAGGAUAUCAUCCAGGAGAACUUCCCUAACCUAGAAAGGCAGGCCAACAUUCAAAUUCAGGAAAUACAGAGAACACCACAAAGAUACUCCUCGAGAAGAGCAACCCCAAGACACAUAAUUUUCAGAUUCACCAAGGGUAAAAUAAAGGAAAAAAUGUUAAGGGCAGCCACAGAGAAAGGUCGGGUUACCCACAAAGGGAAGCCCAUCAGACUAACAGCAGAUCUCUCUGCAGAAACCCUACAAGCCAGAAGAGAGUAGGGGCCAAUAUUCAACAUUCUUAAAGUAAAGAAUUUUCAACCCAGAAUCUCAUAUCC
This 3158-nucleotide long non-coding RNA is filed under the name Homo sapiens (human). RNAcentral's name for it is "HSALNT0092201". The record is from RNAcentral. Lineage: Eukaryota; Metazoa; Chordata; Mammalia; Primates; Hominidae.